UUUCCGUAGGUGAACCUGCGGAAGGAUCAUUACACGAUUUCGGUUAACACCGUUUUCACCCUUUGUUUAUACGUACCACAUGUUUCCUCGGUGGGCUCGCCCGCCGAUAGGACAUUUUAAAACCUUUUGUAAUUGCAAUCAGCGUCAGAAAUAACUAUAAUAGUUACAACUUUCAACAACGGAUCUCUUGGUUCUGGCAUCGAUGAAGAACGCAGC
RNAcentral lists this unclassified non-coding RNA (216 nucleotides) under uncultured fungus. Its description in RNAcentral is "sequence contains ITS1, 5.8S rRNA gene". The stretch from base 168 to 216 matches the Rfam family "5.8S ribosomal RNA", at positions 1 to 49 of the family's 154-position model. Lineage: Eukaryota; Fungi. The record is from RNAcentral.